This is a long non-coding RNA of Zophobas morio, 1708 nucleotides long. RefSeq lists it as uncharacterized. Lineage: Eukaryota; Metazoa; Arthropoda; Insecta; Coleoptera; Tenebrionidae. The transcript is spliced from 6 exons. The record is from RefSeq and is a predicted model, not a curated record.
CCACCUAGAAACAAGGCCUGUGCGCAGAAACAAGAUGGCGGAAAUAGAAGGUUUGUUUACGUUUGGAAAAUUCGACGUCGAAGCCGCAUAAAAUGUUACUGCAAGAAAUAGAAAAGUAUUUAUUUAGAUUAUACGCUUCAAAUGACAUAAAAUUACCGGAUAAUUGGAGUUGCAGCAAAUAGUUCGGCAAAAUCUGAUGUUGUUAAUGUCUUUUACCUCUCUUCAAAGAGCAAAUGUAUCGUGUUUUUGACAGUUGUGCCCCAAAAAAAAGUCAGUAUCUGACAUGUUUUCAAAUGUCACAUUUCGAACAAAUUGUUUUUGAUUUAUUUCAGACAAAAAAAGUUCUUCGUUCGCUAAAAGUUUUUCCACGGUUUUGUAGGUGUAUGCACAAAUCGUCACAACAUCUUCUGUGGGAUAACAUAAACCACCUCUAUCGCUGACAUCAAUUAAGCUGUAGUCUAGGUUUUCAAAAGCGACGUAAGAAGCAUAGCCCGCAAUAAAUGUUAGAAUGGGCCAAGUAGAAUCUGGAAUUUCAUCUAAGUCGCUGUUGUUCACAAGAGCUUCAAAGAAAAAAGCAGAACUAUCAUAGCCUUUAAUAUCGUUAUCGUCAGCACUGGUACUAGAGUUGAGUACAUCUUGUGCAGAGAUUUGCAGCACUUGCCGAAGACUAAUUUGAUAGUGGCUUCCUGAAUAUUGUCUGUAUUUUCCAAACCGCUCCUCCAACUUAUCAGUUUGAAUUUUUCCACAAAGGAAGAAAUUAAAAUCUAGAUGAUGUAGACAAUAUUCUGAAAGUUUGAUCAGUCCAGACACAGAUUGAGAUAUGGCAUGAUGGGUUUCUUUUGUUAAUUUGCCAUCUUCAAACGUUUUCCAGUGAUCCAGCCACAAUGCCCAAACUGUCUGAGAGCUGUUACGAUCGAUUGGUUGAACACCUGAAGAACAAGUUUUACAUUUUGUCUCUCCAUCGUAGUGGGAAAAAGUGCCUUCAAGGACAGUGUAUAACCAUACUUGAGCAGAUUAUCUUUUUCUACCAGAUGUAAAGUUCUUACUGCCUCAAACCGUGCUUCCCUUUUUAUGGAAAAGUCAUCAAAAUCGGGAUAUACCAUUAUUUGGCCAUUUUUUUGGUUCAGCCAAUUGUUCCGGAUGUUUUUCAAAAUGUGCACUGUGUCAAUAAUGAAAAAAAGUGGUCGGUCAUUAUCUGCAGGGUGUUUAUAGCUCUCACAAAUUUGUGGUGGAUUUGAAAAGAAACUCAUUGCCUUCCUGUUUAUGGCGUUGUUAUCAGUGACCACAAAAACCAUGCAAAACUUCGGCCGUCAAUCUACACGCUGGUAAAAUAUGUGCAACAUCUUUAUAACUUGAUCGUAUUGCACUUAACAUGAAAACGUGAGCAGUAGUAGCACAAUCUGCGCUGUUGUAAGACUUCCCCACAACAGUACCACCUUUGUAGUCCAUAUAUGGUUUGAUAUGGAUUUCAUCCAAUAAUAUUGCAACAAUUUUGUCAUUUUCAUUUAGGAAUUGCUGUUUCAUUUUUAUAUAAUGAAGAAAGUGGGCAUUGUGCUGUUCUAAUUGUGGAUCUCCAGAAAAUUUUGAACAAACUCUUCUUAUUGUUGUUGAAGAUGGAAGUAUUAAAUUUCCUGAAUUUUGUAUAAACUUAUAACAAUGUGGCGAAAUUGAGUGUAUUAAACUAGAAAAUAAAACAGUUUCCCAUGAA